This 253-nucleotide ribosomal RNA is filed under the name uncultured bacterium. RNAcentral's name for it is "partial 16S ribosomal RNA". It matches the Rfam family "Bacterial small subunit ribosomal RNA", at positions 524 to 776 of the family's 1533-position model. The record is from RNAcentral.
GACGAACCGAGCGAACGUUGUUCGGAAUCACUGGGCUUAAAAGGCGCGUAGGCGGGCUGCCAAGUUUGGGGUGAAAUCCUCCGGCUCAACCGGGGAAGUGCCUUGAAUACUGGCGGUCUGGAGGGAGGUAGGGGCGUGCGGAACUGUAGGUGGAGCGGUGAAAUGCGUUGAUAUCUACAGGAACUCCGGUGGCGAAGGCGGCACGCUGGACCUUUUCUGACGCUGAGGCGCGAAAGCCAGGGGAGCGAACGGG